CNNCCCNCCGUGGGGNUUUUGCCAAUGGGCGCNAUUCCGAUGCAGCACGCCGCGUGANGGAUGACGGCCUUCGGGUUGUAAACCUCUUUUAGUAGGGAAGAAGCGAAAGUGACGGUACCUGCAGAAAAAGCACCGGCUAACUACGUGCCAGCAGCCGCGGUAAUACGUAGGGUGCAAGCGUUGUCCGGAAUUAUUGGGCGUAAAGAGCUCGUAGGCGGCUUGUCGCGUCUGCUGUGAAAACCCGAGGCUCAACCUCGGGCCUGCAGUGGGUACGGGCAGGCUAGAGUGCGGUAGGGGAGAUUGGAAUUCCUGGUGUAGCGGUGGAAUGCGCAGAUAUCAGGAGGAACACCGAUGGCGAAGGCAGAUCUCUGGGCCGUAACUGACGCUGAGGAGCGAAAGCAUGGGGAGCGAACAGGAUUAGAUACCCUGGUAGUCCAUGCCGUAAACGUUGGGAACUAGAUGUAGGGCCUGUUCCACGGGUUCUGUGUCGUANCUAACGCAUUAAGUUCCCCGCCUGGGGAGUACGGCCGCAAGGCUAAAACUCAAAGGAAUUGACGGGGGGCCCGCACAAGCGGCGGAGCAUGCGGAUUAAUUCNNAUGCAACCCGAAGAACCUUUACCAAGGCUUUGACAUAUACCGAGAACGCUNUANANAUACAAAACUCUUUGGGAACACUCNUNAAANAAGGUGGUGCNAUGGUUUGUCNUCC
Molecule: ribosomal RNA, 709 nt
Filed under: Leucobacter sp. Cr-B50
Lineage: Bacteria; Bacillati; Actinomycetota; Actinomycetes; Micrococcales; Microbacteriaceae
Description: partial 16S ribosomal RNA
Rfam family: Bacterial small subunit ribosomal RNA
Source: RNAcentral